This 200-nucleotide ribosomal RNA is filed under the name uncultured bacterium. RNAcentral describes it as "partial 16S ribosomal RNA". It matches the Rfam family "Bacterial small subunit ribosomal RNA", at positions 495 to 691 of the family's 1533-position model. The record is from RNAcentral.
UAGUAUCAGCGUGCCAGCCGCCGCGGUGAUACGUAGGGUGCAAGCGUUAAUCGGAAUUACUGGGCGUAAAGCGUGCGCAGGCGGUUUUGUAAGUCUUGUCGUGAAAUCCCCGGGCUCAACCUGGGAAUUGCGAUGGAGACUGCAAGGCUAGAAGUCUGGCAGAGGGGGGUUAGAAUUCCACGUGUAGCAGUGAAAUGCGU